Long non-coding RNA from Asterias rubens (European starfish), 948 nucleotides. RefSeq lists it as uncharacterized. The record is from RefSeq and is a predicted model, not a curated record. Lineage: Eukaryota; Metazoa; Echinodermata; Asteroidea; Forcipulatida; Asteriidae. The transcript is spliced from 3 exons.
UUUUCUGGUACGCUGAGACUCAAUGUUUUCUCUUCAACUUUCCACGUUUUGUCGUCAAUUCAGCGGAUGGAAAAACUUGAAAGUCAUAGAGAUUCAAACCAGUCUUCUAUAAGUUGGACCUACCAUGAUGACCUGGUCUAGUAUCACGCAUUACCCUAUAGUCUACAGGGACAAUUACAACAGCUCGUUGCAGCCUUGCAACUACCAACAUGUGACUGAACAACAGAUUCAAACCAAAGUCUGUUAUCAACUGGACCAUACAUGUUGGAUAAACCCUGAUGACCUGGUCUACUGCUGCUUGCACUUCUCUAGUCGCGUGUGGGACAAGUAAAACACCUGUUGCAGCCUUGGAACUAUCAACAUGUGAUGUGAACAAGCAUAUAACAUCAACACUUAGAGCGUUCGUUCUUAGCAGAAUCAGUUGAGAAAGCGUGCUGACGUGGUCUACUACUGUGCACUUCUCUAGUCGCGUGCGGGACAAGUAAGACACCUGUUGCAGCCUUGGAACUAUCAACAGUGAUGCAAACACGCAUAUCACAUCAACACUUAAAGCGUUCAUUCUUAGCAGAAUCAGUUGAGAAAGCGUGCUGACGUGGUCUACUACUGUGCACUUCUCUAGUCGCGUGCGGGACAAGUAAGACACCUGUUGCAGCCUUGGAACUAUCAACAGUGAUGCAAACACGCAUAUCACAUCAACACUUAAAGCGUUCAUUCUUAGCAGAAUCAGUUGAGAAAGCGUGCUGACGUGGUCUACUACUGUGCACUUCUCUAGUCGCGUGCGGGACAAGUAAAACACCUGUUGCAGCCUUGGAACCAUCAACAGUGAUGCAAACACGCAGAUCACAUCAGCACUUAAAGCAUAGGUCUUAGCAGAAUCAGUUGCCUUAUGGUUUUAUCAAAUUUUGCUUGAAAAUGGUUGCAAGACUAUAGCCUUAUGGUUUUAUCAAA